This 232-nucleotide ribosomal RNA is filed under the name uncultured bacterium. RNAcentral's name for it is "partial 16S ribosomal RNA". It matches the Rfam family "Bacterial small subunit ribosomal RNA", at positions 118 to 347 of the family's 1533-position model. The record is from RNAcentral.
UGAGUAACCUGCCCUUAACUCUGGGAUAAGCCUGGGAAACUGGGUCUAAUACCGGAUAUGACUCCUCAUCGCAUGGUGGGGGGUGGAAAGCUUUUUGUGGUUUUGGAUGGACUCGCGGCCUAUCAGCUUGUUGGUGAGGUAAUGGCUCACCAAGGCGACGACGGGUAGCCGGCCUGAGAGGGCGUCCGGCCACACUGGGACUGAGACACGGCCCAGACUCCUACGGGAGCAG